AGUGAACGCUGGCGGUAGGCCUAACACAUGCAAGUCGAACGGCAGCACAGGAGAGCUUGCUCUCUGGGUGGCGAGUGGCGGACGGGUGAGGAAUACAUCGGAAUCUACUCUGUCGUGGGGGAUAACGUAGGGAAACUUACGCUAAUACCGCAUACGACCUACGGGUGAAAGCAGGGGAUCUUCGGACCUUGCGCGAUUGAAUGAGCCGAUGUCGGAUUAGCUAGUUGGCGGGGUAAAGGCCCACCAAGGCGACGAUCCGUAGCUGGUCUGAGAGGAUGAUCGGCCACACUGGAACGGAGACACGGUCCAGACUCCUACGGGAGGCAGCAGUGGGGAAUAUUGGACAAGGGGCGCAAGCCUGAUCCAGCCAUACCGCGUGGGUGAAGAAGGCCUUCGGGUUGUAAAGCCCUUUUGUUGGGAAAGAAAUCCAGCUGGCUAAUACCCGGUUGGGAUGACGGUACCCAAAGAAUAAGCACCGGCUAACUUCGUGCCAGCCGCCGCCGUAA
This 506-nucleotide ribosomal RNA is filed under the name uncultured bacterium. RNAcentral's name for it is "partial 16S ribosomal RNA". It matches the Rfam family "Bacterial small subunit ribosomal RNA", at positions 29 to 523 of the family's 1533-position model. The record is from RNAcentral.